RNAcentral lists this ribosomal RNA (490 nucleotides) under uncultured bacterium. Its description in RNAcentral is "partial 16S ribosomal RNA". It matches the Rfam family "Bacterial small subunit ribosomal RNA", at positions 28 to 507 of the family's 1533-position model. The record is from RNAcentral.
GAUGAACGCUAGCUACAGGCUUAACACAUGCAAGUCGCAGGGUAACAUGAGGAGAGCUUGCUUUCCUUGAUGACGACUGGCGGACGGGUGAGGAACGCGUAUCCAACCUUCCCAUAACUACGGGAUAACCCGGUGAAAGACGGCCAAAUACCGUAUGACAUCGCGUGCGGACGCCAAAGAACGAUUAACGUUUUAGCGGUGAUGGAUGGGGAUGCGUCUGAUUAGCUUGUUGGCGGGGUAACGGCCCACCAAGGCGACGAUCAGUAGGGGUUCUGGGAGGAAGGUCCCCCACAUUGGAACUGAGACACGGUCCAAACACCUACGGGAGGCAGCAGUGAGGUAUAUUGGUCAAUGGGCGAGUGCCUGAGCCAGCCAAGUAGCGUGCAGGAUGACGGCGCUAUGGAUUGUAAACUGCUUUUGUGUGGGGAGAGAGAGCGUGACGUGUCAUGCAUUGCAGGGACCACAUGAAUAAGGACCGGCUAAUUCCGUG